UGUAGGCACUAUGACCCGGAGCAGGGGGACGGAUUAAAGAUAUGGGCUAACAUGCACUCUGUUGUUUCAGAAGCAAAUAAACACGUUGUUUUAACUCCAUACUUUUUGCCUCCACAGAUUAAACUCGCCAAAUAAUGAGACGGUCACCUCAUUUUAGUGGAGCACUGUCCAUAAGCCCGGAAUUGCGCGAUGAAGGCCUGGAUAAAAAUGACUUUGUUGAACCCACCCUGAAAUUCCAGGAGGGUACAGGCUAUUUCCAAUCGGGCACAUGCCACAAAAUCUGAAGUCGUCUGAACUGCACUGAUGUCUCCCACUGAAAGGAGAUGUUCAGCAAACUGCAAAUAAGAAUAAAUACUUUUCCCAUUCACAGCUGGAUGGUAAGUUCUCAUAUUCUGCCGCUUAAAGUGGGCAUGGUAGCUAUUUAUUCUGUUCUGUUGGGCUCUUGAAUUAUUACACUGUAAAUUAUAAUUAGAAUGGGGGUAAAGAAAAUUUACAUUUAAAAAAGGGAAAUCUAAAGUUUACAGUUUGCAAAGCUAGAUUUUACAAAUGAUUUUAGAAGAUUUUACAAUCUUUUUUCUCAGUAUGUCGAUGUGCACUCAUAAAUGGCCGUAUUGUCAGCGGAGAGGAUGCCCCAGACCAUGGCUAUGGCAGGUUAGUUUGCAGAGAUAUGGAAGUCAUUUCUGUGGAGGAAGCCUUAUCAGCAAAAAUGUGGUUUAUGCCACACUGUUUCUUCCCCAGGAUAACUUCCCCAACAUAGUUCUGCAUGUAGCACUGUAGUAACACAAUGAUGUGAGGUGACAAAAUGAACAACUGUGCUGUGACUGAACAAACAACUCAAAGAUUUCAAAGCAGACUGUGGUUUCAGGAUAUUCUGUCCAAGCUAUUUGGAAGAAGCACAAAGAAAUGGGCAAUGUUGAGGACAGAAGCUAAUUCAGCAGGUGAAAGAUACAUCAUGCUUACUUCCCUUUGACACUGGAGAUGUCCAGCAGUGCCAUCAGCAAAUAACUGGCAGAAACCAGUGGAACCCAGGUACAUCAAUCUACCCUCCAGAGAAGUCUGGCCAGAAGUCUUCUAAUGUGGAAAAAAACUAAGGGACUCAACUAUGCAUGAACACAUAGGAACUGAGGAACUGAGAAAAAUGGCAGCAGGUUUCUGGAAUGAUGAAUCAAAUUUUAAAUAUUUGACUGUAUCAAGAGGCAGGUUGUUUGCCAAAGGGCAAGAGAGUGGUACGAUAAUGAGUGCAACAGUGAAGCAUGGUGAAGGUUCCUUGCAAGUUUGAGGCUGCAUUUUUUGCAAAUAGAGAUUUGGUCAGGAUUAAUGGUGUCCUCAAUGCUGAGAAAUGCAGGCAGAUACUUAUCUAUCAUGCAUUCACAUCAGGGAGAUGUAUGAUUGGGCCCCGUUUUUAUUCUGCAGCAGAACAACGACCCCAAACAUACAGCCAAUGUCAUUAAGAACUAUCUUCAGCAUAUUCCUGGAAGUGAUGGUUUGGCUCCCACAGAACCCUGAUCUUAACAUCAUCCAGACUACAUGAAGAGACAGUAGGAUUUGGGGUAGGCUACAUCCAUAGAAGAUCUGUGGUUGGUUCACCAAGAUGUUUGGAACAACCUUGCCGAGUUUCUUCAAAAACUGUGUGCAAGUCUAUCUAGAAGAAUUGAAGCUGUUUUGCAGGUGAAGGCUGGUCACACCAAAUAUUGACUUGAUUUGGAUUUCUCUGUUCAUUUACUUUCCAUUUUGUUAACUAAUAAGUAGACUAUUACCACUUUUUCUGAUAGUGUUCCUACUUCACAUCAUUUUUUCACACCUGCCUAAAACCUUUGCACAGUACUCUAAAUAUAAUGUUUGCCAUGGGCGUCGCUAGGCCAUUUCUAGUGGGGCUUUAGCCCCCCUAACAUUUCUACUCAGCCCUCUUAAAAUUCUUCAUAAACUGUACACAAAUUGGUGAUCACCUCAGUCCCCUUUAAAUUUCAUAUGAAAACGGCGGCAGACUUCGGCUCUUUCACGUCUUUCAGUGCGUUCUUCAAUCCGCAGACCGCGGUGUCGCAGAGCGAGAUUCAGAGGCUUGUUCAGUAUUAUUUGGCUUGUUCAGUACUCAAAUGUUAUACACAUCUAUGCAAUACAGUGGAUUGCUGCAAUAAGUUUACCAUCCUACCGUCAAACAUUCAUUCAUUAAUUAAUUACUUAAUUCAUUCAUUCAUUCAUUCAUUCAUUCAUUCAUUCAUUCAUUCAUUCAUUCAUUCAUUCAUUCAUUCAUUCAUUCAUUCAUUCAUUCAUUCAUUCAUUUAUUUAUUUAUUUAUUUAUUACUAUUAUAGCCUGAUUGGGUAUAAUAGAGCCCCCCCUUAAAUGAAAAUUCUAGAAUCGCCCCUGAUGUUUGCUAUUACUCAUGAAAACCUCGCGUGACACAAUAAGCAAUACAUCAAGCCUUUCAGUGUUUAAAAAGGAUGUGGGUGUGGUAUUUGCUACUACUAACUAUGAACUUUAUGGCUUCAUGGUAGAAAAGCAUUUAAAAUAAUAUGUAAUAAAGAUAAGUAAGCACUAUUUAGACAACUGAAUUUGAACAAGAAUUUUGUGUAUUAGGAAAAUGUGGGAGGGGCUGGCUAAAGACUUUCUGUGAUUCCCAGUAAAUAGCUCAGUAAUGUAAGUCUGCGAAUCCUAUACUGCGAAUCCUACAAUAGACCUAACUUUGUGUAAGUGAAUGCUAGAAACAUGCUAGAUCAUGGACAGCUCCAUCUGGAAGUAGAAAGUGUGGCAAAAUUUCUAAAGCAUGACACAGCAAAAUAAUCAAGGGUAUCAUCAAUACUUGGCAGAAGAUCCUUCUUGGAAGUCCUUCUUGGUCGUGUGGUUAAAAUGGCAGAAAUCUGUGCAAAAUUGUCAGUUACCAUAUUCUGGUUUGACAGAAACUGUGGGGCUCUCUGAUAGAGGAGAUCUGGAGGAAUUUUAUCUAUCUAUCUAUCUAUCUAUCUAUCUAUCUAUCUAUCUAUCUAUCUAUCUAUCUAUCUAUCUAUCUAUCUAUCUAUCUAUCUAUCUAUCUAUCUAUCUAUCUAUCUAUCUAUCUAUCUAUCUAUC
Long non-coding RNA from Hemibagrus wyckioides, 3064 nucleotides. RefSeq lists it as uncharacterized. The transcript has 3 exons. NCBI's taxonomy places the organism in Eukaryota, Metazoa, Chordata, Actinopteri, Siluriformes, Bagridae. The record is from RefSeq and is a predicted model, not a curated record.